GGUCAAGUUAUUAAGGGUGCAGGGCGGAUGCCUUGGCACUAGGAGCCGAUGAAGGACGUGAUAAGCUGCGAUAAGCUUCGGGGAGUUGCACGUAAACUUUGAUCCGAAGAUUUCCGAAUGAGGAAACUCACUUAGAGUAAUGUCUAAGUAUCAUUAAGUGAAUACAUAGCUUAAUGAGGGGAACUCAGGGAACUGAAACAUCUAAGUACCUGAAGGAAGAGAAAGAAAUUCGAUUCCGUAAGUAGCGGCGAGCGAACGCGGAUUAGCCCAAACCAAUAA
This 279-nucleotide ribosomal RNA is filed under the name Clostridioides difficile. RNAcentral describes it as "partial 23S ribosomal RNA". It matches the Rfam family "Bacterial large subunit ribosomal RNA", at positions 1 to 280 of the family's 2925-position model. Lineage: Bacteria; Bacillati; Bacillota; Clostridia; Peptostreptococcales; Peptostreptococcaceae. The record is from RNAcentral.